This 722-nucleotide long non-coding RNA is filed under the name Androctonus crassicauda. Lineage: Eukaryota; Metazoa; Arthropoda; Arachnida; Scorpiones; Buthidae. The record is from RNAcentral.
AAAUUUUAUUCUACAAAAAAAUAAAUCUAAUUAAAAAAAUAUUUUAAUUUUUAUUUUUUUUUCACUAUUUUUUUUUUUUUUUUUUUUUGUAAAAAUUAGCAUAAAAAAUUGCUUUGUCGUACAGAACAGGUAUUAUAUCCUUUGUAAGCGUUUAAAUUAUCGCUUUGUUUGCAGUUAAUUGGCUUUAUUAUUGUUAUUCGUAUUGAUGUCAUCUACAGGUAAACGAUGUCAUUAGAGCCAUCGCCACGCGAAAAUAAUUGCUACAGUUUAAACACGAAGAAUGUCAUCAAACAAAAAGAAGUUUUUUAUACAGAAUUCAUGCAAAACUCUUCUCCUUUCAAGACUCCCGACAAGCUGCAAAAUGAUAAAACUCUUAACGUUAUUAUUGGUGGAAAGAAGAACCAUUACGUUGCAUGUCUUUCAGAAACUAUUUUGUAUCGGUUUCCUUUAAGUAUCCGACGUCCAUUAAAUAUGUUCUUGGUCUUUUCCUAAUUAUAGUACAGAUGUUACCUUAUGGCUGGUAAUGGUAACUCCCCCUUAUCGGCAAUCUUCGCUUGUAAAGGUAAUUGCCAUUUUGGAAAUUCGGUCAGAUCAAAUCACCUGAACCGGAACCAAUCAAAGAAUAAUGAAAGUUCUCCUAGAAUAAUAUGAUAACAUAAAAAUGGUAUAAAAACCCAUUUCUAUAGUCUUAACUAAAGUAUAAAUUGAGUAUUCUGUUUUAU